CUGUAUUGUUGGAAGUUUGGGCGAUUUGGAGACAUUAGUUGAUUCAUUUGUUGACUCUCGUAGCUAAAGUUAGGAUGAUCCCUCCAUCCUGGGUUGUAGGUAUUGGAGUAAGGAUCAUAAUUCCUUUGUGGUUGUCUAGGAAAGCCGCCCAUUGCAUUAACUUGUUCAUUGGGGUCUUCUUGAAGAGUUGGGCACAUGUCAGUUGGAUGUCCCAUCACCGAACAAAUUCCGCGCGCCUUCGUCAUUUGCAUAUUACCUGCAGCCAUUUGACGAACCAGAGAAGUUAGACUCGCAAGUUGUUUUUCAGGAGAUGAAACAUUUACCUCAUUAACAUGUCUAGAAGGGGUGUUGAGUCUAGUUCCGAAUUGUUGAGAAUUGGCUGCCAUGUUUGCAAUCAAGUUCCUCGCGCCCUCAGGAGUUUUAUCCACCAAAGCUCCUCCACUUGCAGCGUCAAUCAUGCUCCUAUCAGUGGGUAGAAGACCUUCAUAGAAAUACUGGAUGAGAAGUUGUUCACUGAUUUGAUGAUGGGGACAGCUCGCACAUAGUCGCUUGAAACACUCCCAGUAUUCAUGUAAGGAUUCUCUACUGUCUUGCAUUACACCACAAAUAGCCUUUUGGAUCUUUGCUACCCUUGAAGCUAGGAAAUAUUUCUCCAAAAACAACCUCUUCAUUUCCUCCCAUGUUGUGACACUUCCAGAUGGUAGAUAGUAGAACCAGUCCUUAGCUGAGUCCUUCAGGGAAAAUGGAAAGGCUCUCAAUUUGAUUUGUUCUUCAGUUACCCUCGUGGGUUUCAUACUUGUGCACACCACAUGGAAUUCCUUUAAAUGCUUAUGAGGAUCUUCACCUACAAGACCAUGAAAAGUA
RNAcentral lists this long non-coding RNA (864 nucleotides) under Olea europaea subsp. europaea. Lineage: Eukaryota; Viridiplantae; Streptophyta; Magnoliopsida; Lamiales; Oleaceae. The record is from RNAcentral.